RNAcentral lists this ribosomal RNA (510 nucleotides) under uncultured bacterium. RNAcentral's name for it is "partial 16S ribosomal RNA". It matches the Rfam family "Bacterial small subunit ribosomal RNA", at positions 28 to 507 of the family's 1533-position model. The record is from RNAcentral.
GACGAACGCUGGCGGCGUGCUUAACACAUGCAAGUCGAACGAAGAGCGAUGGAAUCUUGCUUCUAUCAAUCUUAGUGGCGAACGGGUGAGUAACGCGUAAUCAACCUGCCCUUCAGAGGGGGACAACAGUUGGAAACGACUGCUAAUACCGCAUACGAUCUAAUCUCGGCAUCGAGGAUAGAUGAAAGGUGGCCUCUACAUGUAAGCUAUCACUGAAGGAGGGGAUUGCGUCUGAUUAGCUAGCUGGGGGGGUAACGGCCCACCAAGGCGAAGAUCAGUAGCCGGUCUGAGAAGAUGAACGGCCACAUUGGGACUGAGACACGGCCCAGAAUCCUACGGGAGGGAGCAGUGGGGGAUCUUCCGCAAUGGACGGAAGUCUGACGGAGCAACGCCGCGUGGGGGGAGAAGGGCUUCGGGUUGUAAAGCUCUGUUAAUCGGGACGAAAGGCCUUCUUGCGAAUAGUGAGAAGGAUUGACGGUACCGGAAUAGAAAGCCACGGCUAACUACGUG